This 1864-nucleotide unclassified non-coding RNA is filed under the name Limulus polyphemus (Atlantic horseshoe crab). RNAcentral's name for it is "uncharacterized LOC111087030, transcript variant X1". Lineage: Eukaryota; Metazoa; Arthropoda; Merostomata; Xiphosura; Limulidae. The record is from RNAcentral.
UUAUCUGUAGUACAACGUGUUCAAGAGUUAAUGCCCGAUCAAAUAUUUACCCUAAAACCUAAAAAUCACAGUGUGUUUCACGUAGACUGUUGAACUAACUUGGAGAGUACACAUACACAGGCUGAUUUGUUUCAAUAUCAAAUAUAAGCAGUUGUAUAAUGUUUGAAGUUGAUUUGUACACAUCACAUCUUUUGUGUUCUCAAUCCAUAAGCCAUAUUUGCUGAUUAUGUGGGUAUAGCCGGAUAUAUAAGUGUAGCUCAGAGCAAUUAUGUAAAUAUUCUGCUCUCUAAUAUGUGCUUGGUGUAGUUGGAUCUGGUGGCUAGAAGAGUGGCAGUUGGAAGAAACGACCUAACGCAGGAUUGUCUGCGAACUUCUACAAGAUAGAAACCCGAGAAAAGGCUUAGCAAGAUCACGAUUCUAUUAUCCUGUGCUGAACAUCAAAGUAAUCUUGUGUGUAUUUCUUUGUAACUUGAGUAGAUAAACGUGUGGUUUGUUUAAUUGGGUGAAAAAGAUUAGAAUAUGACUAUAUCUCACUAUUUAUAACUUCUGCGAGUAAAAGAAACCCACUUCAUCUUAGUUUACUGUGGAAUAUUGACUUCAAAGCACGAGUGGAAUAGACGCUGAGAAGAUAUAAUACAAGCAGGAAAAUGAAGAAGAAAAUAUCUGAGUGUGGCUACAGGAAUCAGAACAAUAGAGAUUAGUGAUGAAGGACGUUUAAGAAGAUCGACAGAUGGUACAAAUCGCCGACCACGUGAUGCUAUGUGAGUGAAACCUGCAACGGACCUGUCCCUAGCUGCUGUCGGAGGUCAAAGGUUGUGGCAGCGACGACAAUUUAACCACGCGCAGAGAAACACUCCAUCACCUGAGGUUAUGUACUGAUGACAUCAUCAAGGUCUGUUACUUGGAUCACAAGUGAAGAAAUACUGGCUCCAUUAGAUAACACCGUGCACAUGUACGUUUGUUGACAUUUGCUGAGCUAAAUCCUGCGGCGAUCAAGACUAAUAAGUUUUCUGAAAUAUUUACACAGCGGUCUUCGUAUAAUGUCACAUGUCUCACGAAGGGGGCGUUACUGUAGAAAGAGAGAGAGAGAGACCAUGCGUCCCCUUAGGCAACACAGCAGGAAGAGUCCUUGAAAUUACUUGACAAAACCGGGCAUUUAAUCUGGUAUGUUUACUUUCAACAGUUUCGAUCAGCGAGAGGAGAAGAUACUGUCGUUAUUGAAAGUCCGUUUAAAAUAGUUUAAUAGUUUCAGAAAACAAAUAACGAUUUCACCUUCAUAUUAGUCACUAGGAUACAAUUCUAAUGGUUAUCUCUGAUAAUUUGUGAUGUUUAUGUGUGUUUUAAAAAAGUCCUCAUUAAUUUCAGAGUCACGGUUUACAUUGUGGAUUAAAACCUGAUAUCCUUGACUUACUCUAAUAUGAUGUUCUUGAAUUAUUCUAACGUGAUGGUCUUUCAGUGAAUUAUUACCUUUACUUGACAAUCUCUUAGUUCCUAACGUGAUAGCCUGUGAUUGACUUACUUCGGCGAUUUAAUAUAUAUGACUUGCCUUUCUCUAAAUAAAAGUGUUUAUUCGUGAAUAAUCUCUACGAGAUUUAUGGCUAUGACUUACCUCUAGGUGACGGUCUGUUAGCUCGGGAAUUACUUUUACGAGAAGGUUUAAGGCUAUGACUUACCUCUAGGUGACGGCCUGUUUGCUCUGGAAUUACUUCUACGUGAAGAUUUAUGGCUAUGACUUACCGCUAGGCGACGGUCUGUUUAUUCGUGAGUUAUCUCCACGAGAAGAUUUAUGGCUAUGACUUACCUCUAGGUGACGAUCUGUUUACUCUGGAAUUACUUCUACGUGAAAAUGUAUGGCUAUGACUUA